Long non-coding RNA from Bos taurus (domestic cattle), 2390 nucleotides. The record is from Ensembl. NCBI's taxonomy places the organism in Eukaryota, Metazoa, Chordata, Mammalia, Artiodactyla, Bovidae.
GUUUUUCGGUGUUUUGUUUUUGUCGUUUAAUGGCGGCGCAGUCGAGACUGGAGGCAGAGUCUCGGAUUCUAGACUUAAAGCUGGGGGCUGGAGUGGUAAAGGGAAGAAGAAACAAGUUCGAGCAGGAAUUUUAAUGGGUGUCCAAAUACCCAAACGCCAGUUCAAACUCACAGUGUGCUGCUAAGUGUGAACCUUUAUCAGGCCCUUACGACGCGCCAGGCGCAUCUGCAGGGAGGGUGUCUCCUUAAAGCCCGCGCAACCCGCGAGGGGCCUCCACCGCCAGCCCCGCUCUACGCGCGGGAAGCGAGGCGGGGAGGGAAGUGCCUUUGCAUUCCAACCCGGCCUUUGGACCCAGAGCCUGCAUCCUUAACGUCGACUCCUGAAGGUGACGAAGGGGGCCGGGCUGUCACAGGGACCGCAACAUACAUGUUCACGUAUGUAGAUCCAGGGAGAGGGUGGGGCCCUAGCCAAAGCCGCGCCCUGGUGGUGGUGGUUUUUUUUCUCUCUCUCAAAGCAGGACCUCAGGUUGCGCUGGGCAUUUGCCUGUUCGCUCUUACGUCCUCCUUCCAGGCUUGCCUUCAAACUACCUUUCCCAGGAUCCACAGAACCAAGUGGCUUCUCGCUCAGGCAUUUCCAGGAAUCCUGCAUGUGCACUGAACAAGUUCCCACAGCCCAUGGAGGAAGCCAUCAAGAAGAAAAGCAAAUAAUGGAGGGACCAUGGACGUGAACGUUAUCAGGGCUGUGGGUGAACUCAGAGCUGGGCUGAGGACCAAUGGGGCGUCCACAGCAUCUGCUACUAUGGCAACAUGGCUAAUAAGCAGAUACAACCAAGGAAGAUUAAAGGGAGACCUGAGUCCCCUCCCCUCAAUUCUACUUUACUUUCGAAUGGAACGGACACCAGGGAAAAUCAACAUGUUUUCUCUCCCUUCUUUCUCUUUUCUUGGAUGAGCCAGACAAUCAGGUUACCAGAACAGGGAGAGACAAGGACGCAGCUUAAGGGUGUCCUAAGGACUGGGUGGACUUGGAGCCCUUGAAAGAGAAGACAUGCCUUCUGCCUCAGGCAGGUGUCCUGGGCAUCCUCAUCAGUGUGCUUUCUGAGCGCUUAUUUGCCAGGCACUCUACUGACAAGCUACGAAUGUGUUGUCUCAUCUCCCUGGUGGCUCAGACAGUAAAGAAUCUGACUGCAAUGCAGGAGAUCUGGGCUCCAUUCCUGGGUCAGGAAGAUCCCCUGGAGAGGGAAAUGGCAACCCACUCCAGUAUUCUUGCCUGGAGAAUCCCAAGGACAGAGGAGCUUGGUGAACUACGGUCAGCGGAGCCGCAGAGAGUCGGACCUAACUGAGCAACUAACACACUAUACUAACAAGCUACGAAUGGUUGUCUUAUUACUCUUCUCAUCAAGUCUAAGUUCCCCGAUUAUUUGCAUUCUACAGAGAAGCAAGCUAGGGUAAAGUAACUAAAGAUCUCACAGCCUAAGGUCAUAGAUGUGGGUAAUCAGCUGGACGAUGGGGCUAAAUUCCAAACUCACAUAUAUGACACUUGGAAAUAAGCAUUCAAGCAUCCUUUCAAGGACCAAAGCCAUUCAGAGGUCUUGUCUGAGUAUUUCUUAUACUCUGUGAAGAGGUUUAAAGUAAAAUGAUGACACUUUAUGGUGUCUGGUAGUUGAGGUCACUCAAGGGAUCCAGGGAAUAUUAGUUGAAUUGAGUUUGCAUUAGAUCCACCUGCAACCAAAGUACACAUCCGAUUCUGUAACCCUCCAGCUCAGAGCUCUUCCCUGGCUCCUUGCUGCCCACAGGAGAAGGUUUAAGCUUCUCACUGCGGGCUCCUUUCCGCGUGUCCCUGCGGAUGUGGUCUUGCCUCCUCUCCAGCCUUCACCAUCUGUCUUCCCCACAGCCUCACUCCAGCCAUGCUGACCUACUUGCCACUCCCUCUGUAAACGCUGGCCUUGUGCACUUCCGUUCUGUUGGGAGCCCCUUUGGCCAUUCUUUAUGAGUGAGUUCAGCCGUCACCUCCUGAAUCGGCCAAGCUCCGUCCCCGUUAGUCCUGAGGCAGAGUCUUCCUCUGAGCACCACCGUGCCCUGCGUUACUGAUAUUCCAGGUAUCUUUGUGUCUGUCUGUAUCUCUCACAGACGCAAAAAUACGCCUUUAAGAAGAGCUUGGUUGGGUUGCAACCUUGGCUCUGACCUGUGUGUCCGCAGGCUAAGUUGCUUCUCCUCUCUAAACCUUGUUUUCCUCACCUGUAAAAUGGGCAGUAAACAAGGGACUUCUUGUGAAGCACAAUACCUGACCUGUAUAGUAAAUUCCAAGGUUAGCUGUGAUUAUCUUUGCAUGUUCAGAACUGGUCUUUUUUUGGUUGACACUCAGUGAAGUUAGAGCUCAACCUUGACCAGUGG